Long non-coding RNA from Cydia pomonella (codling moth), 938 nucleotides. RefSeq lists it as uncharacterized. The record is from RefSeq and is a predicted model, not a curated record. Lineage: Eukaryota; Metazoa; Arthropoda; Insecta; Lepidoptera; Tortricidae. The transcript is spliced from 2 exons.
UAACCUUUAACUGACGACCUAUACGUCUCACAGACGUCAUUACUUUUAUUUUGAACUUAACUUUAAAACUACGCGACUCUAGGUGCUCCCCCUCCCGCUACCUUCCCCGUUCCGCGUUGCUAGCCGGCAGUCGACACCACGAGCCCGGCGAGUGCAUAUGUGACUCUAGGGAAGCUAUCGCCGUCUGGGAGACAAUGCCUAGAAGGAAGCAAAGCAUUUCUAGGAAACGAAAAGCAGCUCGAGCACCUCCUAGGUAUCCAAAACGAGUAAGGCCAUAAAAAAUUAAGAUGAAAUUACGGGCAUAUAAUAACAGAAUGACCCGUGAGUUACGACUCUAGAGCGACUCAUUGAACCCGCUGAUAUGCCCGAGCCCCCAGCUAAAAACGACAUAAAUAUGGAACCAGAGGUUCGCAAAACUUGUGCAAUAUCUCCAAGCCGCCUAAAAAGACGUACGAAGUACUCUUGUUGCAAAUGCAACAAAUCUAGGUAUGUGCCUUACGUGCGCCUUCAGAUAUGCAGUGCAAAUUGGGCCAUGAAAUGUGCCAAGUCUGACUGUUGUCAUUUUUUUAAUGUUUUUAUUUAGAGGUGAUUUUAUGUUUUCAGUAUGUUAAUUAGUUCAAGAAGUAAGCGCUAAUAAUGUUUUUUUUGUUAGAUUUUUCAUAAUUAUAUGAAAUAUGGAGACUAAUCAAUGUUCCUAAAAUUUAGCGUUAAGAUUUUGUGAUCUCUUUAUUAAAGUCUGUUAAUUCUCAAAAUAAAGCUGGUAUUAUUUCCAUUAUUCCUUAACUAAUUACCUUUAAUAAGUGUUCACGCAAUAAGAAACCUAAAAAAAGUAGCAUCUAAAUUGUAUUAUUAUAAACAGUAUAAAUAAAAUGUACGUCUCUCAGACACCACAUCGGUGUAAGUGCUACGUAAAAACCAGGUCGGCAGUUAAAGGUUAA